Molecule: long non-coding RNA, 1159 nt
Organism: Oreochromis aureus
Lineage: Eukaryota; Metazoa; Chordata; Actinopteri; Cichliformes; Cichlidae
Source: Ensembl
AUAACACUGUAGGAGGUCUCUAUUUAAGAGUUUAUUACCAACUCUCAGUACAACAUCGUCUGUACUGUCAGCAGCAGUUACACUGUUACUUUGACACCUGGACAAAUAUGGAUGCACUGAAGCUGUACUUAAUUCUUCUUAUACCACUAACUGCAUGUUCACAAGAUUUGGGAGGAGAAACUGUUGUGAAAACAAUUGGGAAACAACCAGAUGUCACUCAAAUAUGCACCAAUGAAACACAGAACAUGAUCACACUGAUAGUUUGUACGAUCAGAACUCAGAGAAGUGGAGGAGGAUAUUGUAGUCUGCUGUAUGAACAUGCACGGGGCUUUGAACAGAAAUGUGACUCCAGGUUCACACUGAUGAAAGAAAAUCAGACUGUGUUUCUCCACCUGAUCAAUUUAACAUCAGAGGACAGUGGGAGCUACACCUGUCAGUGUACAACUCCUGGAAGAACAAAUAUUUUCCAUCUUAAUGUCACUGUGGAAGUGGCUGUUCAAGGUCAGAAACAGCUGGACUAUCAGUGAAUGAGACUCACGGCUCUUUGGAUGAAGAUGUCCAAGAUGAUUCUUACACAAACCUUCAGCAUCCAACAAAUGAUGUCUACCAAACUAUCACCUCAGAUCACCCUCAGCAUGACAUCACUACAAAUUAAGAAUAUUAAGUGUCUGUUGUUGUGAUUAUUCAGCCAGAAGAACAGAAGCUGUCAGAAGCUGACAACGUUUAAACAUUUUGAAACAUGUAAAACUGCACAUGUACACAUGAGUAAUAUUGGUCUGAUAUAAAUAUUUUUGGAUUAUCAUUAUGACAAGACACCUCAUUUACUCUGGACACAUGUUUUAUAAUAACUGAGGUCAUUCAGUCUUAACACUCCAACUCUGUGAAACAGGUUCACAGAUGCGUCCUUUUGCAAAUACAAACUAACUGUGUCAAUAUGAAUCCUUGUGUUUUUGAAAGUUUAUGAAAACUAACAUUUCACCAUCGUCCGCUCUUAAUUCCAGACAUGAGUUUGUUUCUAAACUAAAACUAAACAGUUAAAAACAGAGAAAAACUCUUCCUGGGUUUUUCUUCUGUAUUCAUGUGUUUACUCACUGUUUUAACAUUUAAGGCAUCCAAACAUAUGAGAAUUUGAGGUGUAAAUUACUGAGGGGUGCAGGUC